GACUGUGUGUAGUGGCAGUAUCAUAGCCCAGGAGGUUUAUCUGAGGCGUGAUGAUUGCUAUUUGGGAGCUAUACCCAAUACCCCGCCUUGAUGACUUGUAACAUAGUCAGCUAUGACAAUUUUUGGUAAUCUCCGUUGAGA
Nerophis ophidion (straightnose pipefish) is the source of this 141-nucleotide small nuclear RNA. RefSeq annotates it as U4 spliceosomal RNA. The record is from RefSeq and is a predicted model, not a curated record. NCBI's taxonomy places the organism in Eukaryota, Metazoa, Chordata, Actinopteri, Syngnathiformes, Syngnathidae. The transcript has a single exon.